RNAcentral lists this ribosomal RNA (253 nucleotides) under uncultured bacterium. RNAcentral's name for it is "partial 16S ribosomal RNA". It matches the Rfam family "Bacterial small subunit ribosomal RNA", at positions 524 to 776 of the family's 1533-position model. The record is from RNAcentral.
GACGAACCGUGCGAACGUUGUUCGGAAUCACUGGGCUUAAAGGGCGCGUAGGCGGCAGAUCAAGUCCGGGGUGAAAGCCCCCAGCUUAACUGGGGAAGUGCCUUGGAAACUGAUGUGCUUGAGGGAGGUAGGGGUCGAGGGAACUUCUGGUGGAGCGGUGAAAUGCGUUGAUAUCAGAAGGAACGCCGGUGGCGAAAGCGCUCGACUGGACCUUUUCUGACGCUGAGGCGCGAAAGCUAGGGGAGCAAACGGG